Molecule: transfer RNA, 73 nt
Filed under: Ailuropoda melanoleuca (giant panda)
Lineage: Eukaryota; Metazoa; Chordata; Mammalia; Carnivora; Ursidae
Rfam family: tRNA
About the family: Transfer RNA (tRNA) molecules are approximately 80 nucleotides in length. Their secondary structure includes four short double-helical elements and three loops (D, anti-codon, and T loops). Further hydrogen bonds mediate the characteristic L-shaped molecular structure. tRNAs have two regions of fundamental functional importance: the anti-codon, which is responsible for specific mRNA codon recognition, and the 3' end, to which the tRNAs corresponding amino acid is attached (by aminoacyl-tRNA synthetases). tRNAs cope with the degeneracy of the genetic code in two manners: having more than one tRNA (with a specific anti-codon) for a particular amino acid; and 'wobble' base-pairing, i.e. permitting non-standard base-pairing at the 3rd anti-codon position.
Source: Rfam by way of RNAcentral
GCCUGGCUGGCUCAGUCGAUAGAGCAUGUGAUUCUUGAUCUCAGGGGUGUGAGUUCAAGCCCCACGUUGGGUG